ACGCUCGACACCUACUGGAGGCAGCAGUGGGGAAUAUUGCACAAUGGGGGAAACCCUGAUGCAGCGACGCCGCGUGGAGGAAGAAGGUCUUCGGAUUGUAAACUCCUGUUGUUGGGGAAAAAGAGGAUGGUACCCAACAAGGAAGUGACGGCUAACUACGUGCAGCAGCCGCGGUAAUCUGAGCGGGCUGGCAAGGC
Molecule: ribosomal RNA, 197 nt
Filed under: uncultured bacterium
Lineage: Bacteria
Description: partial 16S ribosomal RNA
Rfam family: Bacterial small subunit ribosomal RNA
Source: RNAcentral